GUGUCAGCAGCCGCGGUAAUACAGAGGGUGCAAACGUUGUUCGGAAUCACUGGGCAUAAAGCGUACGUAGGCGGCCCCGUAAGUGUCUGAUGAAAUCCCACGGCUUACCCGUGGAACGGUCGGGCAUACUGCGGGGCUAGAGGAUGGUAGAGGAGAGCGGAACUCUUGGUGGAGCGGUGAAAUGCGUAGAUAUCAAGAGGAACACCGGUGGCGAAGGCGGCUCUCUGGUCCAUGUCUGACGCUGAGGUACGAAAGCUAGGGGAGCAAACGGGAUUAGAUACCCCCGUAGUCC
Molecule: ribosomal RNA, 292 nt
Filed under: uncultured bacterium
Lineage: Bacteria
Description: partial 16S ribosomal RNA
Rfam family: Bacterial small subunit ribosomal RNA
Source: RNAcentral